Molecule: ribosomal RNA, 394 nt
Filed under: Dictyocha sp.
Lineage: Eukaryota; Dictyochophyceae; Dictyochales; Dictyochaceae
Description: partial small subunit ribosomal RNA
Rfam family: Eukaryotic small subunit ribosomal RNA
Source: RNAcentral
AUUCCAGCUCCAAUAGCGUAUAUUAAUGUUGUUGCAGUUAAAAAGCUCGUAGUUGGAUUUCUGAUGGGAUCGACCCGGUCGGCUCCGAAAGGGGUCGCACUGGUGGUCUGUCCGGUCAUCCUCGAGGGGAGGCUUUCUGGCAUUCAUUUGUUGGGGAGUCGACGCUCGUCGUUUACUGUGAACAAAUUAGAGUGUUCAAAGCAGGCUUAGGCCGUUGAAUACAUUAGCAUGGAAUAAUAAGAUAGGACUAUGGUACUAUUUUGUUGGUUUGUGCACCAUGGUAAUGAUUAAUAGGGACAGUUGGGGGUAUUCGUAUUCCAUUGUCAGAGGUGAAAUUCUUGGAUUUAUGGAGGACGAACUACUGCGAAAGCAUUUACCAAGGAUGUUUUCAUCA